UACCAUGCUUCUUCCAUUCCCUACCAAUGGAUGAGCAAGUCGGAAUGCCGGCAUUUUAGGGAGAAGCAUAAUAUCCCCGCAGACUGGGAGGUCGAGUUCAACACACAUUUGAGGGCAUGCCAUCCCAUUUUCGGCCGCCUUUGUGUCUACAAAUAUGCCUUCGAUAGGGGCUUUGGCCUGCCUCUUGAGGAAGGGUCAUGUCACUCAUUCAACACCUCACUAUCAUUCCUGCUCAACUCUCACGUUUCGGAUGAAGGUAUUUGAUGGGUUUUGUCGUCAUCUGCAGCAUCGGCCGAGUAGAGCCCUCGGGGGAGCUGUUUGAUUAUUUCUUCACCACCAACCUCGACCCUAGAGGUUGGAUUUCUAUCUUGCCUAGGGUCGUGAAGGAAGGCUUCCUUCUCGUGUCUAAGGAGCAUCCUAGAACUGAGGCCACAACCACGUCUCUCAUGUUUUCCGGGGAUUCUAAGGAUUUAGACGACCAGAAAGAGCGUUAUGUCUUCAUUCACCCUCAAGGUUCCGGCUCUACGUAAGGGACCUAGUUCGUGUGCAACGGGUGGACUUUAGACACCAAACGCAAAUGUCCAAGCGUCGAAGCCAUUAAAGAGUCGGCCGGUAGGAUCCUGGGUAUAAGUAGGGACUGAAAAAAUGAAUGGCUUACAAAUUCGAAGCUUACCGAGGUGGGCCUGGAUGGUGGAACCUUUAAAGACUCCUAGGAGAUACCCUAUUCCCCGCUUCCAAGGGGAUGAUUCUAGAUUUCCCUAAAAGCAAGGGGCCUUCAGCCCCUAUAAAAUAGAGGAAAACAAUUGAGAAGGCUCUUAAGACCUCUCAAGGUUAAGGACAUCUUGCUCUUUGUAGGUCGAAGAAGACGGCCGAGGAAGACCUCUGGAGUUUUCAAGAGGCCUUGAAGGGCAGUGCCGAAGCUUACCCGAUGAGCCCUUCCUCCAGAUCUCGAGCUUCAAAAACUAGGAAGGACCCCCAACCUUCUCCCCAAUCAGCGACAUCACUUGCUUUACCAUAAGAUCCAACCGAAAGUAAAGAUGAGACUAUCGCCCGGGCGUUUGAGGUGGCUAAAGUAGAGGCUCGAAGAGGUCAGUCGUCUGUAGGUAUGGAGUCAACCAUAAUACACCCCGCCAUUCCAAUUCCUUCUAUCUUUAGGCGUAUACUAACGUCCCUAUCACCGGAGGGCCACUCGGAAUUAACAUGGAGAGCUUUGCUAGAGGAGACCUCAGUAUUAUCUGCUAAGGAGAUUCUGGCUUGAAGGGCCAAGCAGCGAAGGGUUGAAACUGCUCCCUCAUCUUUUUCGACUGGCGCGACUGGGGCCCUUGAAGCGACCGGGGGUCUCUCUAAUGUCCUAGUGGCUCAUUCGAUUUCCCCCGAUUCUGUUCCCGAGUUGGGAGUAGACCUCCUGUACCCAACGGUUAUUUAUAUAACCGAGCUUAAGCUCGCCAGGAUCUAGAGCUGGCGUAGAAUGGGAUGCUGGAAGCUCAUCAGGCCAACUCCAAGCUUGGGGAAGAGCUAGAUGCUGUGAAGGCCGUGAAUGAGAAGCAUAGGGAAAAUGUAAAGAGGAUAUCUUCAGAGUUGAAGGAAAGCAAAAAAAGCCAAGUUGAGACCAUGAAGUCCUACUCCCAGUGUAAGGAAGAUCUCCAAGCAACUAACAGAAAGCUUUGAUCCGCCCUUGAAGAUGCUCGCGUGGCUUUUCAAAAUGGUCGCGAGGAAUUUCGAAAUUUCGAGACUUAUGCUUUGGAGCUAGAAGGAGUUCUUCGGGGUGGAUUCAAGUAUAUGAAAAAACUCGCGAAUGAGCACUUUCCGAAAUUGCCCAUGCACUCCAUCACUUAUGAUGUCUCGAUUGUUUUAUCUUCUUUAGAAUAGAUUCCUUUGUAUUUAUAAACACAACAUCUCAAUAAAAUUCA
Molecule: long non-coding RNA, 1910 nt
Organism: Diospyros lotus (date-plum)
Lineage: Eukaryota; Viridiplantae; Streptophyta; Magnoliopsida; Ericales; Ebenaceae
Exons: 3
Source: RefSeq, a predicted model, not a curated record